GGCGAAGACCCGGCAGUUUCAGAGGUUGACCCUUCACCGAAUCCAUCUACAACUGUGGUGCAUAACGUGAAAAAAGAACCAGAAUCCAACGAUGUCUUCAGAAUGUUCCAGAAAUGCAGGAUCGAUUCCCAAAUGGUGAUCACGUGCCAGCAGCUGAAAGCCAUCUUCGUGAAGAAGUGGCUCCUGUUCCAGCGUAACAUGUUCCUUACCCUCUCCCAGUCGCUGCUGCCGUCGCUGCUCAUUAUCAUCGGACUGCUCGGAGAUUUUAGCCGCGAUGACUACGAUCCUGAUCAGCUGCAAUCGAUGACCAUCAGCCCCAAACGUUAUUCCGAUUUGAUCAUCCCAAUACGUUUUGACGCACAACUUACUACUGGUCUAAUCGACGCCUUCAAAGCACAGUCACCGAGUUCAGGCUUCCAAAUUGUA
This is a long non-coding RNA of Physella acuta, 426 nucleotides long. RefSeq lists it as uncharacterized. NCBI's taxonomy places the organism in Eukaryota, Metazoa, Mollusca, Gastropoda, Physidae. The record is from RefSeq and is a predicted model, not a curated record.